GCAGGUUAGCGGCGGACGGGUGAGUAACACGUGGGCAACCUGCCUGUAAGACUGGGAUAACUCCGGGAAACCGGAGCUAAUACCGGAUAGUAUCUUGAACCGCAUGGUUCAAGUUGGAAAGACGGUUUCGGCUGUCACUUACAGAUGGGCCCGCGGCGCAUUAGCUAGUUGGUGAGGUAAUGGCUCACCAAGGCAACGAUGCGUAGCCGACCUGAGAGGGUGAUCGGCCACACUGGGACUGAGACACGGCCCAGACUCCUACGGGAGGCAGCAGUAGGGAAUCUUCCGCAAUGGACGAAAGUCUGACGGAGCAACGCCGCGUGAGUGAUGAAGGUUUUCGGAUCGUAAAACUCUGUUGUUAGGGAAGAACAAGUGCGAGAGUAACUGCUCGCACCUUGACGGUACCUAACCAGAAAGCCACGGCUAACUACGUGCCAGCAGCCGCGGUAAUACGUAGGUGGCAAGCGUUGUCCGGAAUUAUUGGGCGUAAAGCGCGCGCAGGCGGUUUCUUAAGUCUGAUGUGAAAGCCCCCGGCUCAACCGGGGAGGGUCAUUGGAAACUGGGAAACUUGAGUGCAGAAGAGGAGAGUGGAAUUCCACGUGUAGCGGUGAAAUGCGUAGAGAUGUGGAGGAACACCAGUGGCGAAGGCGACUCUCUGGUCUGUAACUGACGCUGAGGCGCGAAAGCGUGGGGAGCGAACAGGAUUAGAUACCCUGGUAGUCCACGCCGUAAACGAUGAGUGCUAAGUGUU
Molecule: ribosomal RNA, 751 nt
Filed under: Metabacillus idriensis
Lineage: Bacteria; Bacillati; Bacillota; Bacilli; Caryophanales; Bacillaceae
Description: bacterial SSU rRNA
Rfam family: Bacterial small subunit ribosomal RNA
Source: RNAcentral